ACACACACACACACACAGGGUGGGACUACACACACACACACACACACACAGGGUGGGACUACACACACACACACACAGGGUGGGACUACACACACACACACACACACACACACACACACAGGGUGGGACUACACACACACACACACACACACAGAACACAGGGUGGGACUACACACACACACACACACACACACACACUACACACACACACACACACACACACAGAACACAGGGUGGGACUACACACACACACACACACACACACACACACACACACACACACACACACACACACAGAACACAGGGUGGGACUACACACACACACACAGAACACUGGGUGGGACUACACACACACACACACACACACACACACACACAGAACACAGGGUGGGACUACACACACACACACACACACAGAACACAGGGUGGGACUACACACACACACACACACACACACACAGGGUGGGACUACACACACACACACAGGGUGGGACUACACACACACACACAGGGUGGGACUACACACACACACACACACACAGGGUGGGACUACACACACACACACACACACAGGGUGGGACUACACACACACACACAGG
Oncorhynchus tshawytscha (Chinook salmon) is the source of this 599-nucleotide long non-coding RNA. Lineage: Eukaryota; Metazoa; Chordata; Actinopteri; Salmoniformes; Salmonidae. The record is from Ensembl.